AUGAAAUGCUUAAGGAGGGUUAAUAUCCUAUAUAAAUAAUGGUUUGGUUUAAUCUUAAAUGAUAAAUUGAAUAUUUUUACAAAGUCUAAAUAAGUAUUGAAAUGUCACUGUGUGUGUGUGUGUGUGUGUGUGAGUGUGAGUGAGAGAGGAAGAAUAUGAAUGGAAGGAUGAAGGUCCUUUUACUAAGGCUUCUCUUUUCCUUCCCACGGGCUUGUCACA
RNAcentral lists this small RNA (219 nucleotides) under Prunus dulcis (almond). RNAcentral describes it as "sRNA ncRNA". The record is from RNAcentral. Lineage: Eukaryota; Viridiplantae; Streptophyta; Magnoliopsida; Rosales; Rosaceae.